Long non-coding RNA from Peromyscus californicus insignis, 10137 nucleotides. RefSeq lists it as uncharacterized. Lineage: Eukaryota; Metazoa; Chordata; Mammalia; Rodentia; Cricetidae. The transcript is spliced from 4 exons. The record is from RefSeq and is a predicted model, not a curated record.
UUUUCUGUCCCCAGCCCCCUAAGGGAAGGUUGUCAUGAAUCAAGUGGGUGGGGUGGCCUUGAAGCUAGGCUAGCCCUGGCUGAUGGAGCCUAGAGGCAGUAUUCCAACAUCCCUGGGGGGGGGGUCUCCAACCCUGGGAAAAAGGCACACACACACAGGCACAGACACAGGCACAUACACACAAACACACACACACACAGGCACAAACACAGGCACAUACACACAAACACAGAGAGAGAGAGAGAGAGAGAGAGAGAGAGAGAGAGAGAGAGAGAGAGAGAGAGAGAGAGAGAGAGAGAGAGGAGCAUUCUCUCUCUAGUGUCUGUGUGUAUUUGUGGGUGCGUAUAUUUCUCUGUGUGUCUCUCUGUCUCUGUCUCUCUCACAAACACACACACACAGGAGCAAGAGCAUUCUCUCUCUCGUGUGUGUGGUGUGUGUGUAUUUCUCUGUGUGUCUCUCUGUCAUGUCUCUCUCACAGGCUCACAGAGACAUGAGAGCAUGCGCUGUCUAUCUCUGUUUCUCUCACACAACACACACACACACACACACACACACACACACACACACACACUCCCUCGUUAACGUCACCACCACCACUGGCACCCAGGAAAGCAUGAGUCUUCCCAGCUCCCCACGCAGCCUGCUGAGCCAUUUUCUGAGUAGGCUCCCCCUUCCCACCCCCCACCCCACUCUGCAACAUUUCCAAAGGAGAGAAUAAAGAAUGCAUGCUCAUUCAUAACGCCCUGCCACAAAUACUCUACAUGGAGCCUGUGCCAGUCCCUGGGGAUACAGACAUCUAGAAGACAGAGGAAUAUGAGCUGCCUUCCAGCUUCUCCUGGGGAGCAGAGAGCCUGGACUGGAAACUGUACCCUACUCCACCCCCAGCCUCUCCGUGAUUGUGCCCCAGCCCCUGGACUACUGUGAACCUGGGGUUCUGCAGAGCCUCAACUCCCACUGCCACGUGGCAGGUGAAAAUCAAGAGCACCUUGUCUCUAGGGCAGCAUCCCUCAAUGGUGUCAUCGCCCCACCCCAUCCACAAUUUUGUAUCUUGGAUUCACGGUUGCAGAAAAAUGGUGUUUGUCUGAGUCUGAUGCACAAAUAUCUCUGUGGUGUGUAGAGUUAGAGUCUUUCGUGUCUGUGACCAAGGGUAGCAGAGCUGGGUCAUAGAGUAGUUCUGUUGCUGUUUUGUGAGGAAUCGCCGCCAUACUCAUUCCCAUCAUGGUUCCCCAAGUUCACACUCUGUUCCUCUUUCCCUGUAUCCUCAUUACGACCUGUCCUUUGUUUAUUUCACAGUGGCCGUUCUGACUUGGGUUAGAUGGGCUACAGCAGGUUUUGUAUGUGAUUUCCCUCUGGCUGAGGAAGUGGAGCACUGUUUCAAGUAUUAAUUAGCCAUUUGUACUUAGCAUCCCAUCAGGUCUGUGUGAUCAGACUAUGGUGGCCAUGGAAUAUUACAUGCCAUCACCUGGACCUGUCACAGCACCCCAGUCUGUCUGGUUUAUACAAGGCUUUCUGUGUGGCUUUCUCUAAUGGCAGAACCCACACAGGAUAGGACAACAGGAACUUGAGAACGGGACACAGUCCCUGUGGGCCAGGAGGCAGGACUUUCCAUCUCUCUCUGAGAAGCUGGGACCCAGAUAGGAUCCUUGCCCUCUGGAAAAGGCCAGCUGUCUGCACCUAGCAGAGCUUGUACCAGCAGAGGCAAGGGGCAGGAACCUAGGGCUUGGCCAUCCCUAGUGGUCUGGGAUGGGAUGCUGGCGGGCAGAAGGGACAGAUGAGCCUUGCCUCACCUGUUCAGGUGUCUAUCCAAGAUGGGCAGCAUGGGUAAAGCCAUGAUUGCUGGGUGGGGCUUGAUGAUAAGACAGUGUGAUGUGGCCACGGGAGAGGAUCUUCUCUUCAUGGGAGCAGGAGACCUAUGAGAAGGAACAUCAAUUGGAGGACAACCACAGGGCCAGGUUCCACAAGCUCCUACUCUGCCUUUGUAGAUCACUGACCCACACAUGUCAGUGCCAUGGCUGGAGAAAUGGCUGCAGAGGAAUAUCACCAGAGUCUGCAAAUCUGUCUCAGAGACAGUCCUUAAGAUCCCCAACCACAGUAAGGGGACCCGUACAGUGACUACUUAAGAUCCCCAACCACAGUAAGGGGACCCGUACAGUGACUACUUAAGAUCCCCAACCACAGUAAGGGGACCCGUACAGUGACUACUUAAGAUCCCCAACCACAGUAAGGAGACCGGGACAGUGACUACUUAAGAUCCCCAACCACAGUAAGGGGACCCGUACAGUGACUACUUAAGAUCCCCAACCACAGUAAGGAGACCGGGACAGUUUCUAGGACCACAGCUGUCCAAGUCCUUUCUCUGCACUUUCCAUAAAGUCCCACAUCCAUUUCUACACUUCUUGAGUGUUCAUCCCACCUGUAACCAGAAGUGUUCAGAAUACUAAGCACUGUAACAGGGGUAAAGACAAAGAGUCCCGUGCAAUGUCCCUGGAGGGAAGAUGAGCCUUUCAAAUGGGAGGAGGUGCCACUGGUGCCCCUCAUUUCAUGAUUCACAAGUAUUCCUGGAGAGCCACGUUGGCCAGCCCUCCCCAACCAGGCUGUCCCUGUACUCAGCGAAAUUAUUUUCCACCGAGAACGUGACGAUAGACUUGCCAGAAAACAUGAAAUGUGAUGAAGGAAGUGGCAAAACUCUCGGGGCCGAGAAGAAGAUGAUUGUUGGCACACUCCUCUAGGGUCCAGGAGGCUGCAGAGGAGCACCAUGGAGCCCAGGGAAGGCUUCUCUGAAGAUAAUGAGCUGCCAGUCUUGCAUGGAAAACCUGUCUAGCAGACAGAGCUGUAAUGCACCAGGUCACUAUGGCAGAUGCCUCCGGUGCUAGUGGGACCUGCAUGGAGCCUGCCAUCCAUGGAGCCUGGAACUUAGUGUAACAGGGGGAAGAAGGAAGGAACUAGGGAGGAGGGUACAGGGGUGAGCAGCUCUCCCCAUCAAGGUCUGCUCUUGUUCACAGUGGUGUGGGGAAGCAGGAAGAUCUGAAGUCUAGGCAGUGCCCAGAGUCACACUGACUCAUUUCUCCCUGACGGCUGUGUGUGGGCAGUUUUGCUGAUGUGGAGGGCAUAAAGAUGAGCAGGGAGCCAAUUUGCUAUGGGCCUGCCACCUGACCGUCUGUCCCCCAUGAGACUGCAGUAUGUUGUUCCAGACUGAAGCAGAGUCUGUGGGCUAAUGCAUGGAUUCCCAAGGAAUUUUACAGUAAAAGAGACAGCAUGCACUAGUGCCUUAAAGGGAGUCACUGAGCAAACCUCAGAAGUGCCAGACAGUAUUUGUGAGUGAUGGGUCAGUCCACAACACUGUGCCUUCCUCUUCUUUGUGACUCCCCCAUCAGGCUUCUCCAAAGGAUAAUGGAUAGUGAGCAUUGAUCCAGGAUGAAGAUGAAACAGUGUUGGAGAAGCAUCGCCGUAUCCUCCCUCUCCAUAUGUACCUGGAGACACCAUGCCGUGUCUAGGCGGUUUCUGGGGCCACCGACUCUCAAAUGCCGGGGAACCUUUAAACUGUAAUGCCGUUGUGUUCCCUGCAUUCCCACCAUGGUCUUCUAACAGGUCACUCCUUUCCUCCAAAUUCCCAGCUGGACUCGGUGGCCAGAUUCAUCUGUAAAGGUGACUUAUUACAUCCUUGGCCUGGCCUUAAAUGGUCAGAAUGGCUGCCUGUUGCACGUUGACUCAGUGCAAACUUCUUGGCAAGGCUGAAAUAAGAUGAGCCCUUGCCAAAAGACCCCCUUCUGUCCUCUCAAUACCCUGGCCAAUUGAGCUCUGGGAGAAUCCCAUGACACUGCUCUCGGCUGUGAGCCCUGCUCUUUCUGAGGGCUCCCACCGUCUUGAAAUAGUAGACCACUUUUUAAAGUUCGAUUGUUACAACAGGUCUCAGAACACAUGCUCAGGCACCUGUCAUUCAGAAAAGAUCUACAACACAAAAACACUUUGUUUUUCAGUCCAGAUGUUUUGGUCCUGUGAGAUGACAAAAGACAAUAGAUAAACAAUCAAAUUACUACCCCCUUUGUGACUCUUUGCAAUUCAUUCUCCUGUGCUGUAUUUAUUUUAUUUAUUUUACUCAUUUUACAUACCAACCACAGAUCCCUGUCUCAUCCCUCCUCAUGCUCCCCGCCCCACCUAGCCCACCCUGGUCCAUCCCUCCUUCCCUCCUCCAAAAGGGUAAGUUCUCCUAUAGGGUUUUCCCAUGAGGGGAGGGACAGCUAAGUCUGGUACGUUCAGUUGAGGCAGGACCAAGCCUCUUUCCCCUGCCAUCAAGGCUUAGCAAGGUGUCUGAUCAUAGGUAAUGGGAUCCAGAAAGCCAGAUCAUGUACCUGAUCAUCACUGCCAGGGACCCCUCAAACAGACCCAGCUACACAACUGUCUCCCAUAUGCAGAGGGUCUGGUCCAGUCCCAUGCAGGUUCCACAGCUGUCUGUCUAAAGUUCAUGAGUUCCUAUGAGCUUGGUUCAGUUGUCUCUGUAGGUUUCCCCAUCAUGAUCUUGAUGCACCUUGCUCAUAAAAUCCCUCUUCCCUCUCCUCAGCUGUACUCCUGGAAUUCAGCCUGGUGCUUGGUUGUGGAUCUCUGCAUCUGCUUCCAUCAGUUACUGGAUGAAGGCUCUAUGAUGACAGUUAGGGUAUUCACCAAUCUGAUUAGUGGGGUAGGCCAGUUCUCGGACCCUCACCACUAUUGCUAGUAGUCUAAUGUGGGGUCAUCCUUGUGGAUUCCUGGGAAUUUCCCUAGCACCAGGUUGCUGCAUUGCCCCAUAAUGUCUCCCUCUCUCAAGGUAUCUCUUCCAUUGCUCUUCCACUCCAUCCCUCCCCCAGCUUGACUAUCCUGUUCCCUCAUGUUCUCAUCCCCCAUCGCCUCUCCUCUAUUGUCCCCCCCCAUCCCCAGUUUACUCAUGGAGAUCUCCUCUGUUUCCCCUUCUCCUUCCCAAAGUGAUUCUUAAGUUCCUCUUAGGGUCCUCCUUGUUUCCUAGCUUCCCCGGAGCUGUGGGUUGUAGUCUGAUUGUCCUUUGCUUUAUGUAUCUAGUAUCCACUUAUGAGUGAGUACAUACUGUGUUUGUCUUUCUGAGUCUGGGGGUGGCUCAGUGGUUAAGAGCACUGACUGAUGUUCCAGAGGAACUGGAUUCAAUUCCCUGUGCCUUGUUUCAUAGAGUGGACCCUGGGUCUCUUCUGGGUGAGUCUAUAGUGAGAAGUAAGAUCUUGGUCUAUCACUAUCUAAUCAUCCUAAUUCUCUUCCUCUUUCUCACCCUCCUCUCUUAUUUUCUCUCUGUCUUCCCCGCUCUACCCCCUUCAUGAGGUUGGAAACCCCUUUGACUCUUUGGUGUUGGUCCUGCCUGAGCAGCCAGGGCUCACAAAAGGAUGACACUCAGCCUCAGGGUGGGCAGAAGAUAUGAAGAAGCAUGGCGUUCUGGCAGCUCUAAUGCACUGCUGACCACCUGCUACCUGAGGGCAUGGAGAAGAUGGACCUGGGAACAAAGCUGACUUGGCGGCAGGAUCUUAGAGGCUAAGACGUAACCAGUGUGUACUUGAGUUCCUUCCUGAAGUUGGAAUUUUGGAAACUCUCCAGAAGGAUCCUGGCAGUUUCCUUCAGGACGGUCCCUUUGCCCAAACCCUGCUUUGAAACCAACAGCGAAAAGUGAUCAGGACUGAGGGUUUUGUCCCAGCUUCCCCCGUAUUCUUUUUUCUCGGGGAACCAAUUCACCUUCCAUCACAUGCUUCCAGGUGUCCCUGGACCUGUGUGUCAUAACCACGGGCCACAGUGUACCUAAGAUGCAGCAAAGGCCAUGGCUUAGGAGAGGUGCUUACCUUGGACAUGUUACUGUAUGUUCUUUUCUUUUCCUUACCUUUGCAGUCCUGGGCUGUACAAAGGGAUAUUUAUGAGCAUGAAAAGUGGUCAUGUACGGCCAACGUUUUUCACCAAUGCCUGGCAUGCAUUCAAUGCCCAAUACAAUAGACUGUUGAUUAAUCUCAUCUCCCUCUGUCCUGAGGAUGUCUUGUUCAUCUGGUUUUCAAAGCCAGUGACUUUUCUUUCUGGCAACCCGGGAUGCCUGGAACUUUCUCUCUGACCAGGAUCAAAGUGUCAGCACAGAGAGAGUCUGACCUCCUGGCUUCAGUCCUUGGUUAAGGCCACAUUUCACUCCAGGCCACUGCCUGUUUCUCUGGCCUGAACUCACUUAGCUAACCCCCUCUGUGGACCUUUUCCCAACCAGAGCAACUUUAGGAUCCGCUGAUUUCCCACCCCCGCCAGGGUGUCCCAGGCUUUUGCAAAUGAGCCUAUGAAAGCCUGGUGCUUUUGUCCUCAAGCAAAGCACCCAACAGGUGUGAGCCACCCAGCUGCUCAAAAGAAUAUGUAUGGGUCAGGAAUGUUUUCUGUCUUCUCUUUCAGAAUCUCACUGGGACACAUCUGGACACACUUCACAAAAGGUAAUGCUUUGCUGCGGUACAAAUGUACUGGGUGCCUUUUGCUGCUGCCAUGUCCUCCUUGCAACAAUAUCCCCGAUGUCUAAGACUAUGAAGUGACAGUUCAUGGCCUACCAAAAUGUGAGUACUGUAAGUUGUUGUUCAUUUCAGGAUCGGUUCUGCCUAACAGACAGAUCCUCGACUCUCCCACAGUGUGGUGAGACCUCAGUCAGUCCAGAGCCUUUCACCUCCUCUCUACCUCUACCGUCCAGAAGGCAGAAUGAUAGGAGGUACAGAAUGAUAGGACUCUCUUGGGAGUGUGUAUCUUAUUCUUUUUUUUGUCCCGGGAUCUUCUGAAAGGUGAGUUUAAUUUAGACUCAAUGCAGCAAUCACCAAAUACACUUUCUGUAUCUGUCUCCUAUGCAUGCAAGUCCUCAAAAGGCAGGCAGACUAAUAUCAUUAAAUAUUCAGCCUGUAACCAAGCGCCUAUGGAACUGGUGUUCAUACCAUCUCUGCUUUACCUUUGACAACAUUUUGGUUCCGUGUUGUUAUUCAAGCACUGGCCUGAGUGCAGAAUCUGGGAUAUGAUUCAACACAAGGCAUUCUUGUUUCACUGCUGGUGGUGGAGACCAUGUUCUUCUGCUCUGUAGGAACCCAUGCUGUCACUACAAAGGCCACAGCUGCACAGGCAGUUAAUGAUUACCAGCCCCCCCAGAACCCAGAUAUUCUGUGUUAUGGAGAACCCAGGGAGCUGUAGUGUUUACUGCUUUUCCUGCCCAUACAAAUCCCCAGUUGGCCCUUUCCAUGCCUCUUGCUUAUGGAUCAAGAUCCCAGCUCCCAGCUCCUGCUCCAACACCAUGCUUGCCUGCAAGCAAACUCUUGUAAACUCUUGCAUAAGUGCCUUGGUCAUGGUGUUUUCUCACUGAAGUAGAAAAGUAAUCAAGACCCCACACACACACCUUUAGUAGUAGCCUGUCUGUAUUUCUCAUUUGGAAGCCGCUUUCCUCUUUGUGAGCCUUUCAUAUGGUUUUUUCUUGGAGUUCAUUCACUUCCCUGAGCUGUGGUUUUCUCAUCUUGCCUCCUGUUUGUACCGUUUCUAACAUAGUUUCUUCUGAUGGUGUUGCAGCCCUCAGUCCCUCUUCCUUUUUUUCAGAGACAGCAAUGGCAGACAAGUCCAGCGACUUCCUGUUUCCCCACUGUUUAAUGAGUUUCUAGGUGGUUUUUCUUCCCUUGACUUUUUGAGGCUGUAUUGAGAUAUUUCUGAUACACAACAAAAUAUGCCACUGGGUAGGUUCGACAAGUGACACCUAGAAUGUUCACUGUAGCUAAGAACAUGUUCUCAAGCCCUUAGCAAUGCUUCCCUCUCCCUCACCCUGACACUCUUUUCCCUGUCUCUAGGCAAACACAGAUACGCUUUCGGGAAAAUGAGGGCUUCUUUGUAUUUUCUGGAAUUGUGCACAAAUGCUGAUUGUCAAAUCCUCACAGAGACACACAUCCCACGGUGGAAUGGAGCUCAACCCUACAAUCCAGUUCUCUGGACACCAUCAGGCAUCACAAGCAGCUGCAAUCAUUUAGGGUCAAGAUGGCUGGAUCUUUUGCUUCUUUCCUCUCCUGAUGGGUUUUGACUUUCCAUGAGCCCCUUCCUCAGGCUGCUGCCACAUUGUCCUCUGAAUCGUUACUGUCAGCAGAUUUGGUGAGUCAAUUGGGAUUUCUUAAAGGGAGGAAUUAGUUACAAAAAGUUUUUUCCCACAUUAAAAAAUGAGAAACAUUUUUACAAUGGUGGGGGAUUGGUCUCUGUUUGAUAAUACAAUAACAAUUGAUGGUUUAAAAAUGGAACAAUUAAAUGAGAGGAUAAUUAAUAUUGAUGGGAUAGAUGUAAUGUCAAUUAUAAAUAUUAUUUGUUUCAUCAUUUAAAAAGUUGGUUAAUAUGAGUAUCAAGAUAAAAGUUUUUAGAAAAACUUGUUAAAACAGAUCAUAGAGAUAUACAGACCCAGACAGAAGAAUUUAAAGGAGAAUCAAUCUUAACAUUGCAUUCUAAGGUUAGAGAGAAACAGCCUAAGGCUUUCAAACAGCCAACCUUAAUCUAUCCAGCAACCUUACAGGAACUACCCAGUAACAGAUAUCCUCAAGGCUGUGCAAGAGCUGACUGGACUCCUGUGCAACUGUUAGAUUCACAGAAGAAUAGUCUCAUAUGGCAUCAACUCAUCUUUUGUGAAGCAGAUGUUAAACUCAUGGUCAACUUGUAAUAGAAUUAUCCCUCAAGACUGGAGAUUUGGUUACGGCAAUUUUGGAGGAUGAUUCCCAACUACAAUGGAGGACCUGGUGGGAAAAUGAGGCUGAGACCAUUGAACAAUGAAGAAGACAUUUUUGGAGAAGACAAUUAUGCUGAUAUACAAUCUUUAUAUGAUAACCACACCCUGGCUUUAUGCCACAUGGAAGCCUUGAAUGCUAGGGCAGAAUUGAAGAAGUAGGAAAGAAAAUUGAGUCAUUUACUAAAGUUAUACAGGGUCCAAAAGAAACCUUCACUGAUUUCUUACAAAGACUGACUUCAGCUGUAAAUAGAAUGAUACCAAAUUCAGAAGCUAGACAAGUAAUAAUUGGACCUCUGGCUUUUGAAAAUGCUAGUGUACAAUGCAAAAGGGUAACUAGGCUGUUAAAGGCAAGAUCAGCACCCUUGGAAGAAUGGAUCUGAGAUACAAUAAAUAUUGAAUCUCAUGAUCAUGAUGAUGCUUGGAUAGGAAAGGUGAUUUCCUAGAGGUUUGAAGAAAAAUAGUAAGGUCAAAUGUCCCUAAGAAGGGACUAUAAAAAGGAUGUUUCUAGAAACAAUGUUUUUUCAAGGAAUAAUCCUAACAGAAUGCCCCUCCCUUCUGGAUUAUGCAGAAGGUGUGGCAAAGUCAGACAUUGGACUAACAAAUGUAGAUCAACAAGGGACAGACAAGGUAAUCCUUUGCCUUUGCUAUUGGGAAAUUCCCUGAGGAGCUUCUUGCAGGCCCACAUGUCAAAUUCUUUUCAGUCCUUUCCUGUUGUUGUGGAAGAAACUCCUUCUCAGAGCAAUUAAAGAACCUAAUGCCUAUUAUAAAAAACAUACUGCUCUGGAUGAUAGAACAGCUAUAAAAGAGAAAUCAAAAAAUUCAGGAGAAACCAUAAAUCAAAACUGAUAAAGAUUAGAUUUGGAAACCCCCUCAAAGUUAGGGUUGGGGAAGGAAUUUGUUGUUGUCAUUCCAGAAAAAGAAAAACAACCAUCUUGAAGAAUUUAAAGACCUUUGGAUAUAUAAGCAUCAAAAAAAGAAGGAAGAACUACCCAGAAAAAAAAACUACCAAGAAAAGUGAUAAUCUGACCCAAUGUGAUCUUUGAAGUCUCCAAAAAGAUGGUGGGACCUCACAAUGAUGAUUCCAUCAGGGCUAUGGUAAUGCCACUAAGCUGACAAAUACCACCUAAAGAUUGGCUUUGGACUACUCAGGACAAUAUCGAGAUGGCUAGCUGAGAUGAUACAGCCCCACAGACUACUCCAAUCAAGACUUGACCAUAAUUCUAAAUUUUCUUUGUGUCCUAUAAAACUACCAGCACCCCAUAUCAGCAGGAAGUAGCCUAGAACACUACGCCCACAUUCCCAAAAAUGCAUUAUGGAUGUUUGUCUUUGUUUAGUGGUUGGUUAAAAAUUGUUAUUGGUCAUAGUCAAUCUCUUUAUAAAAGAAGAAAGGGGGAUAUGAUAUA